This 475-nucleotide ribosomal RNA is filed under the name uncultured Vibrio sp. Its description in RNAcentral is "bacterial SSU rRNA". It matches the Rfam family "Bacterial small subunit ribosomal RNA", at positions 50 to 507 of the family's 1533-position model. The record is from RNAcentral. Lineage: Bacteria; Pseudomonadati; Pseudomonadota; Gammaproteobacteria; Vibrionales; Vibrionaceae.
AACACAUGCAAGUCGAGCGGAAACGAGUUAUCUGAACUUCGGGGAACGAUAACGGCGUCGAGCGGCGGACGGGUGAGUAAUGCCUGGGAAAUUGCCCUGAUGUGGGGGAUACCAUUGGAAACAUGGCUAAUACCGCAUAAUAGCUUCGGCUCAAAGAGGGGGACCUUCGGGCCUCUCGCGUCAGGAUAUGCCCAGGUGGGAUUAGCUAGUUGGUGAGGUAAGGGCUCACCAAGGCAACGAUCCCUAGCUGGUCUGAGAGGAUGAUCAGCCACACUGGAACUGAGACACGGUCCAGACUCCUACGGGAGGCAGCAGUGGGGAAUAUUGCACAAUGGGCGCAAGCCUGAUGCAGCCAUGCCGCGUGUAUGAAGAAGGCCUUCGGGUUGUAAAGUACUUUCAGCAGUGAGGAAGGUUCAUGCGUUAAUAGCGUAUGGAUUUGACGUUAGCUGCAGAAGAAGCACCGGCUAACUCCGUG